This 253-nucleotide ribosomal RNA is filed under the name uncultured bacterium. Its description in RNAcentral is "partial 16S ribosomal RNA". It matches the Rfam family "Bacterial small subunit ribosomal RNA", at positions 524 to 776 of the family's 1533-position model. The record is from RNAcentral.
UACGUAGGGCGCAAGCGUUGUCCGGAAUUAUUGGGCGUAAAGCGCGCGCAGGCGGUCUUUUAAGUCUGAUGUGAAAUCUCGUGGCUCAACCACGAACGGUCAUUGGAAACUGGGGGACUUGAGUACAGAAGAGGAGAGUGGAAUUCCACGUGUAGCGGUGAAAUGCGUAGAGAUGUGGAGGAACACCAGUGGCGAAGGCGACUCUCUGGUCUGUAACUGACGCUGAGGAGCGAAAGCGUGGGGAGCGAACAGG